UUAGUUUUUCCCAGAUGCCAAGGAAUUAAUUGACACUAAUCGCUGAUCUGUUUUUGUUAAGGGCUGGCAGUACUGUGUGGUAUAUUUCAGCAACAUGAAGAUGCAAAAAUAGCUGUAAUAUGGCUAAAUAGAGGCUGCCUAUUUCCCAGUACUUUCACUUCAACUCUUACAUGGUAGAUAAGAGGGCAGUUCCCUUUGACCAGGAGUACCUGCAGGAGAAGCUUGGACAGAGCUCUGAGGAAGAAUGCAGAAGAACCACAGUCACUGAAAGUAAGUUUUCUUUCUCCUUUAAUACUCAUCCAUAUGCAUUAACACUGUGGGUGAUCCUUUGCACUUCAGGUACUUGCUAAUUAUCUAAAGCUAAAACUCCUGUUACAGCUUCUUGUGAAAGACAGGGUGGGGGGACAGGAGUCAAAACACUCAUUAUUGUGGAGAUCCAGAAACUGUAUUCCUACGCAUUAACAAUGCCAGAGAAGAGAUCAGAAAGGGGGGUAAGGUUCUGUUCUGAGUACAGGGAGAAAAUAACUCACAAAAGUCUUAGAUGAACUCUGGCAGUGUGGGAAUGUCUCAGGACUUCAAACUGGUUCUAAUCCAUACUAAGAGCAGCAACAAGGAUGGGUAUGAAUUGGUAUGAGCUGAAGCUGUUCCUUGAGUAAGAAUGUUUUACACAAUCCCUCAAGACUCAUAAUGUGAUACUGCUAGGUACAAUUUAUAAUUGGGUUUUUUGGUUUUCUUCACUUUUGUAAGUUUCCAGUCUUGAAAUCAAGAACUUUAGCUUUUGCUUUCCUUGAUUAAACUUUAGUUUUUUGCUUCUAAGCUUGUGUGGUGAAAAGCUUGACUCUGGACAAAAAUUCAAAGAAAACCAGUUCUCUAGGUAGUAACUAAUCCAGCAAAAAUGUUUGUCCAGGCAACAGCCUUCCUCCUGCAGGAAUCUGAGAUAUGACUUUCAGCAGAGUAUAAGGACAAGUUUGAAGGUGCAAUGAGCAAGUAUUCAGGUUUAGUGGCAGAAAGAUGAUGUAUAGAUGCAGGUACACCUCAGAUCAUCAAUGUGCUAGUUUUUAAAAUGAAAGCAACAUGCUGUUGACAAUUUCUCCCCAAAUCUUCAUGAAUUUUUGAAAACAACCCAUUAAAUCUCAUGGUUUUGGAAAACAGAAGUGAACUUCAGAAUCGGGCAAUGUUGAUGAAUUACCAGAAAGAUCAUGUUGUCAAUCUUCUAAAAAUGCCCUGGUAGCAAGUUCUGGUAUUGUUUUUCAAUUGUUGAGUAAUUUAUUUCUCUUCACAGGUCCAGUAUUAUCUCAUUACCAUUAUUCCUACAAUAAUGCAAAAUAGCUGAAUUCCAAUUUUUCUUAGGUCGUAUGGUCCUUCAAGACAGAACUUAGCAUACGGCUGUGAGUGCAUUACUACUCUGAUUAGGAUUUGCUACUGUACUCUUAUUAGGAUGAAAGACUAUGCUGGACUGAGGCCACAAGUGAUCUGAUUCCAAUGACCACCAAACUAAAGGUCAACUUGAAGAGCAGGCAUCAAAUUUCUUUCCUUAUAGUCUACUUCAGACGUCUAUGAAAGUGUUGUUCAUGUUUGUUAACAUCUGUUGCACAGGAUUUUUUAAUCCACUUGAUAAAGCAGAUCAAAUGUUCCACUUUUUUCUCUUGCUUGACACAAAGGGAUUAAAUUCAG
Long non-coding RNA from Corvus moneduloides (New Caledonian crow), 1674 nucleotides. The record is from Ensembl. NCBI's taxonomy places the organism in Eukaryota, Metazoa, Chordata, Aves, Passeriformes, Corvidae.